GUCCAGGACCAUCCCCUGCAUUAAUAAUAGGAAUACUAGCAGUAACUGCAGCUCUUCUUGCGGCCCCACUUUCAAAAUGACGCAUAACAAUAAUGUCUGAAUACCCUUCAACAGUUCUAAUAGUAUCUUCAAGUGUCUCUCCUUUGGCAGCCGACCUUGCAUUUUCAGUAGUCAAAACCUCACCACCUAACCGUUUCAUGGCAGACUCAAAAGAAAGCCUAGUGCGAGUAGAUGGCUCAUAAAAAAGGGUAGCCAUGAGAUAACCCUUAAGGAUUUGACUACCAGGAGAAUUCUUCUCAAUUUUUUCCAUUUCUCGUGCAACUUCAAAUAUGGCACUGAGAAUUUCUC
This 348-nucleotide unclassified non-coding RNA is filed under the name Hevea brasiliensis (rubber tree). The record is from RNAcentral. Lineage: Eukaryota; Viridiplantae; Streptophyta; Magnoliopsida; Malpighiales; Euphorbiaceae.